UAAAAUCUACAUUACAGAUAAGAUAAUGAUACAACUAUAUAGUAUAUAGAACUACACAUAGAACAACCACAGCGCAAUGUGGUAACACAAUACAAUUCAACUCAUUAAGGGUAAAGUAUUUAAUAACUAAUAGAAUUGUUGAUGUAAAAUAAUACCAAUGAGGCUGGGAUAAUUGAGUGAAUGACAGAAAUACUUACUUAUAGGGAAAAAUACAAACUUUCUGUAGAUUAAGGUUCUUAGUUGAAAAAGUUUACAAGAUAAAACUGAAGUGUCCUGAUUUUUUAUUUGACUCAGCUUAAUUUAAAUUAUAUUUCAGUGAGAUUCUGUUUUGUACUUCUAGUGUGAGGUAAAAUGGAAAAGGCAGACCAGAGACAAAAGAAAAGAAGCUACUGGAUGGGGAUAAUGUACACACUUUCCUUACCUUUCCCAUUUUGAAUGGAUGGAAGUUUCAGCACAGUUAUAGAGUGAGAAGAGGCAGCCUUUAUAUAUGUCCUGGAUUGCUGCUGCCUGCAUACAUACAGUUUUUGUCCAGUACUCUAUCACAUGAUUAAGACCGGCAAAUAGCAAUUUCAGGUUUAACAGCACUGUAUCAAAAACUGCUUUAUGCUAGAUGCAAGAUGGAAGGCAUUUUGGAAAAACAGGCUAAGGCUAAGGACCCACGGAGCGGGCAACUAACUACUUGGAAAUGCCUUUCCACCGGAGUCACCAAGGAAAAGGGCGAUGCAUCAGUUUGGCUUUCCAAAGUCAUGUGAAGUUGCCUGCAUGAGACAUAGCAGCUUUGUUUAUAUAAAUUAUA
Molecule: long non-coding RNA, 796 nt
Organism: Xenopus tropicalis (tropical clawed frog)
Lineage: Eukaryota; Metazoa; Chordata; Amphibia; Anura; Pipidae
Exons: 3
Source: RefSeq, a predicted model, not a curated record